GUCGAACGGAACCCUUAGGGGUUUAGUGGCGGACGGGUGAGUAACGCGUGAGAAUCUGGCUCUAGGUUCGGGACAACCACUGGAAACGGUGGCUAAUACCGGGUAUGCCGAGAGGUGAAAGGUUAACUGCCUGGAGAUGAGCUCGCGUCUGAUUAGCUAGUUGGUGGUGUAAGGGACUACCAAGGCGACGAUCAGUAGCUGGUCUGAGAGGAUGAUCAGCCACACUGGAACUGAGACACGGUCCAGACUCCUACGGGAGGCAGCAGUGGGGAAUUUUCCGCAAUGGGCGAAAGCCUGACGGAGCAAUACCGCGUGAGGGAGGAAGGCUCUUGGGUUGUAAACCUCUUUUCUCAGGGAAUAAGCAAGUGAAGGUACCUGAGGAAUCAGCAUCGGCUAACUCCGUGCCAGCAGCCGCGGUAAUACGGAGGAUGCAAGCGUUAUCCGGAAUGAUUGGGCGUAAAGCGUCCGUAGGUGGCUGUGUGUGUCUAUUGUUAAAGAGUUUGGCUCAACCAAAUAAGGGCGGUAGAAACUACACAGCUAGAGUGCGUUCGGGGCAGAGGGAAUUCCUGGUGUAGCGGUGAAAUGCGUAGAGAUCAGGAAGAACACCGGUGGCGAAAGCGCUCUGCUAGGCCGCAACUGACACUGAGGGACGAAAGCUAGGGGAGCGAAUGGGAUUAGAUACCCCAGUAGUCCUAGCCGUAAACGAUGGAUACUAGGCGUUGAGAGUAUCGACCCUCUCAGUGCCGUAGCUAACGCGUUAAGUAUCCCGCCUGGGGAGUACGCACGCAAGUGUGAAACUCAAAGGAAUUGACGGGGGCCCGCACAAGCGGUGGAGUAUGUGGUUUAAUUCGAUGCAACGCGAAGAAACCUUACCAGGGCUUGAACAUGUCUGGAACUCUGGGGGAAACUCGGAGGUGCCUUCCGGGAGCCCAGAACACAGGUGGUGCAUGGGCUGUCGUCAGCUCGUGUCGUGAGAUGUUGGGUUAAGUCCCGCAACGAGCGCAACCCUCGUACUUAGUUGCCAGCAUUUCGGAUGGGCACUCUAAGGAGACUGCCGGUGACAAACCGGAGGAAGGUGGGGAUGACGUCAAGUCAGCAUGCCCCUUACGUCCUGGGCUACACACGUACUACAAUGCUACGGACAAAGGGCAGCGAGACUGCGAAGUCAAGCAAAUCUCAGAAACCGUGGCUCAGUUCAGAUCGCAGGCUGCAACUCGCCUGCGUGAAGGAGGAAUCGCUAGUAAUUGCAGGUCAGCAUACUGCAGUGAAUUCGUUCCCGGGCCUUGUACACACCGCCCGUCACACCAUGGAAGCUGGUCACGCCCGAAGUCGUUACCCUAACUUUUCGGAGAGGGGGACGCCGAA
This 1365-nucleotide ribosomal RNA is filed under the name Fischerella muscicola NDUPC001. RNAcentral describes it as "bacterial SSU rRNA". It matches the Rfam family "Bacterial small subunit ribosomal RNA". Lineage: Bacteria; Bacillati; Cyanobacteriota; Cyanophyceae; Nostocales; Hapalosiphonaceae. The record is from RNAcentral.